This 414-nucleotide ribosomal RNA is filed under the name uncultured microorganism. RNAcentral describes it as "bacterial SSU rRNA". It matches the Rfam family "Archaeal small subunit ribosomal RNA", at positions 459 to 872 of the family's 1478-position model. The record is from RNAcentral.
CAGCCGCCGCGGUAAUACCGGCGGCCCGAGUGGCGGCCACUAUUAUUGGGCUUAAAGCGUCCGUAGCCGGGUUGGUUAGUCUCCCGGGAAAUCUGGCCGCUUAACGGGCAGAAUUCCGGGAGAUACUGCCAGCCUAGGGACCGGGAGAGGCCGAGGGUAUUCCCGGAGUAGGGGUGAAAUCCUAUAAUCCCGGGAGGGCCACCUGUGGCGAAGGCGCUCGGCUGGAACGGGUCCGACGGUGAGGGACGAAGGCCAGGGGAGCAAACCGGAUUAGAUGCCCGGGUAGUCCUGGCGGUAAACGAUGCGGACUUUGUGUCGGACAAGCUAUGAGCUUGUCCGGUGCCGGAGGGAAGCCGUUAAGUCCGCCGCCUGGGGAGUACGGCCGCAAGGCUGAAACUUAAAGGAAUUGGCGGG